AGGGUUGUGGUGCACUUCAAAACUUUGCAUCACAAUCUUACAGUAUUUCUCCAAUCGGCAUUCAGUACUGGAAACAAUCGGAAGGCGCGGGGUACGAGGACUCCAGUUCUGUUCAGGAGCGAGCGGACGAUGCAGUGCCUCCUGGUGGUUACUACAAGUACGUGUGGGACAUUUCUCCCAACUCCGGGCCAACCACAUCAGAUCCAGACUGUCUCACCUACAUCUACUCAUCACAGGUGGACAUCGUCCGAGACUUCAACAGCGGACUCGUCGGGACUCUUCUGAUCUGUAAAACAGAGGCUCUGACCGAGGAGAGACAGCGGAAGGUUCCCGAGUUCAUCUUGCUUUU
Molecule: long non-coding RNA, 349 nt
Organism: Carassius auratus (goldfish)
Lineage: Eukaryota; Metazoa; Chordata; Actinopteri; Cypriniformes; Cyprinidae
Exons: 3
Source: RefSeq, a predicted model, not a curated record